AAGUCGUAACAAGGUUUCCGUAGGUGAACCUGCGGAAGGAUCAUUACCGAUUUUAGCGAACCUAACCUUUGGUUAUGGUCUCGCGAAAACUUUGUAUUUAAAACCCCACUCUUAAAAAAAAAAAUAUUUUUUAAUAUAAUAAUAAAUAAAGAUCACUUUCAACAACGGAUCUCUUGGCUCUC
This 182-nucleotide unclassified non-coding RNA is filed under the name Rhizophagus sp. (in: glomeromycetes). RNAcentral describes it as "Rhizophagus sp. (in: Fungi) partial internal transcribed spacer region". The stretch from base 1 to 46 matches the Rfam family "Eukaryotic small subunit ribosomal RNA", at positions 1786 to 1831 of the family's 1831-position model. The record is from RNAcentral. Lineage: Eukaryota; Fungi; Glomeromycota; Glomeromycetes; Glomerales; Glomeraceae.